CUAUAUUGCUCUCUCGCUCCUCCUCCAUCCCUCUCUCCUUUUAGCUAUCGCGCUCUCGCUCUCUCACUCUCUCGCUCCUCCAUCCCUCUCUCCUCUCAGCUCUCACGCUCUCUCUCUCCUCCUCCAUCCCUCUCUCCUCUCAGCUAUAUCACUCUCUCGCUUCUCCUCCAUCCCUCUCUCCUCUCAGCUAUCGCUCUUUUGCUCUCUCACUCCUCCAUCCCUCUCUCCUCUCAGCUAUCGCUCUUUUGCUCUCUCACUCCUCCUCCAUCCCUCUCUCCUCUCAGCUAUCACACUCUUGCUCUCUCGCUCCUUCUCCAUCCCUCUCUCCUCUCAGCUAUCGCGCUCUCGCUUCUUCUCCAUUCCUCUCUCCUCUCAGCUAUUGCGCUCUCGCUCUCUCAUUCCUCCUCCAUCCCUCUCUCCUUUCAGCUAUUGCGCUCUCUAGCUCCUCCUCCAUCCCUCUCUCCUCUCAGCUAUAUCGCUCUCUCGCUCCUCCUCCAUCCCUCUCUCCUUUCAGCUAUAUCACUCUCUUUCCUCCUCCAUCCUUCUCUCCUCUCAGCUGUCGCUCUCUCGCGCUCUCACUCCUCCAUCCCUCUCAGCUAUCGCACUCUCUCGCUCCUCCUCCAUCCCUCUCUUCUCUCAGCUAUCGCGCUUCUGCUCUCUCACUCCUCCUCCAUCCAUUCCUCUCUCUCCUCUUAGCUAUCGCCCUCUCAUCUCAGCUAUCGUGCUCUCGCUCCCUUUUCUAUCCCUCUCUCCUCUCAGCUAUAGCGCUCUCGUUCCUCCAUCCCUCUCUCAUCUCAGCUAUCGCGCUCUCGCUCCUCCUUUCUCCCUCUCUCCUCUCAGCUAUCGCGCUCUCGCUUCUCCUCCAUCCCUCUCUCCUCUGAGCUAUCGCGCUCUCGUUUCUCCUCCAUCCCUCUCUCCUCUCAGCUAUAUCCCUCUCUCCUCUUAGCUAUCCCUCUCCUCUCAGCUAUCGCGCUCUCGCUUCUCCUCCAUCCCUCUCUCCUCUUAGCUAUCACGCUCUCGCUUCUCCUCCAUCCCUCUCUCCUUUCAGCUAUCGCUCUCUCCUCUCAGCUAUCCCUCUCUCUUCUCAGCUAUAUCUCUCUCCUCUUAGCUAUCCCUCUCCUCUCAGCUAUCGCGCUCUCGCUUCUCCUCCAUCCCUCUCUCCUCUGAGCUAUCACGCUCUCGCUUCUCCUCCAUCCCUCUCUCCUCUUAGCUAUCCCUCUCC
Molecule: long non-coding RNA, 1222 nt
Filed under: Astyanax mexicanus (Mexican tetra)
Lineage: Eukaryota; Metazoa; Chordata; Actinopteri; Characiformes; Acestrorhamphidae
Description: lncRNA (ENSAMXG00005019820.1)
Source: RNAcentral